UUACGGAUCUUUAUUAUAUUUUUUUAUAGGAUCUUUUUCAAAAUGAUAAAUUCUUAAAACCAAUAUAUUUUUGAAGUAAAAUAGAAGGUAAAAUCCUUUUCCUUGUCGUAACUGCAAGUUCAUGGGCUUAUUGGUCUCCAUAAACUGCCUAACCUUUGAGCUAUAAUUUUCAUUCUUUUAAACCCUAAACUCCCCAUUUUCUUCUUCUUUAAUAACGCACAAAAUUAAGUAACAACAAUAACAUAGCAACAACACCAUCUCUCAACAUAUUUUUGUUUUCGAUCGGAUUCGCCCAGUUCUGAAUCACGAGUUUCAUUGCUUAAUCAAAUGAAUUCUUCCUCGUAGGAGUUUGAAAGACAAUCUGCGUCAUCUACUGUAACUGUGUAAAUGAAGGUAGACGGCAGCGAUUCUGCGAUAUGGCGAGGUUCCAGGUGGGCGUCGAUUCUGCGAUUUGGCGAGGUUACAGGGGGCCGGUGAUCCUGCGAUUUGGCGAGGAUUCAGGUUCCCUGCGAUUCUGCGAUUUGGCGAGGUUUCAGGUGGCCGGCGAUUCUGCGAUUUGGUUGGUGAUUAUGCGAUUUGGCGAGGUUUCAGGUGGCCAGCGAUUCUGCGAUUUUGCGAGGUUUCAGGUGGCCGCGAAGGAAGGAUACUUGAAUAGAUUGGCGAAUCAUCUAGGCGUCGCGAAGGAUUAGCUGAUCAGCGCUAUAAUUUGACAGAGGCAUUGCUAUUUCUAUCACAUUUCGUGGGUGAUAUUCAUCAGCUAAUGCAUUUUGCGGAUACCAACGAUAAAGGAGGAAAUCUAUUGAUUUACGGUGGUUUAGGCAUGAUCUAAUCUCCAUGUAUGUUUUCAACUGCGAUUUACAAUUUGAAGGAAUUAUGAAUUAAUCGCAUACUUAAGAGUUGUGGUUGAAAUGGGGUUGAUAAUUGAGAUGUGUGUUUUUUCCAACGGUGGAGGUGCGUGGGUUGCAAAGUACUUACUGGAAGGUGGAUUUCCAAAAAUGUUGAGUUUCUAGGUGGCCAGGUUUUGAUAGACUUCCAGGAGAACCCGAAGGAUGCACAAGAUCAUAUGAAGAAUCCAAUGGUGAUGAAUAAGAUCAAGAAGGUUGUUAGUGCUGGAAUUGUACGAGUUAAAUGAUUUGGAAUUAAUUGAUAUAUUUUUGGGAACAAUAAUAUAGCUUUGGCAUUUGAUUUAUUUGCACUGCCCAACUAUGUAAUUGCACUAAUUGGUGGAUCAAUCUAGUAUAAUUCUUGUUAAAAUUUGAACUUUAAUUUCAAUGAGAGGUUUUGUUUAUGUCGUCA
Molecule: long non-coding RNA, 1296 nt
Organism: Spinacia oleracea (spinach)
Lineage: Eukaryota; Viridiplantae; Streptophyta; Magnoliopsida; Caryophyllales; Amaranthaceae
Exons: 3
Source: RefSeq, a predicted model, not a curated record